Molecule: non-coding RNA, 24 nt
Filed under: Cricetulus griseus (Chinese hamster)
Lineage: Eukaryota; Metazoa; Chordata; Mammalia; Rodentia; Cricetidae
Source: RNAcentral
AGACCCUCCAGGUACCGGAGAUAG